Molecule: non-coding RNA, 46 nt
Organism: Acidobacteriales bacterium 13_1_40CM_3_55_5
Lineage: Bacteria; Pseudomonadati; Acidobacteriota; Terriglobia; Terriglobales
Source: Rfam
CCCAGGGCUGACGCCCUGGGCUAAAUUAUUCCGCCCCUGCGGGCCU